UUCCUUUUUUAAGAAGGACUUCUGUGCCAUUCUUUUCUCAAAGAAAAGUUGAACUCCAAGUCUUCCAGAGUCACGGCCAAAACCGAUUCCAAAGACCACUGUUAGCCAGAAGCAGCAGCUCUUCUUUGUUUUCAAGUUGUUUCACAAAGACAUGCAUGCAACUAGGACUACAGUUGAAAAUUAGCCCACUGGCUAACACUGGCGCAUUUACAGAAAUGUUGAUUAAUGUGCAUUGUCCUAAUAUAAAUAAACAUAUCUUCUUCUUGUAUCCCACAAACAUGAACCGAGAUCCUGAGUGGUGCAUCACACAGAUGAAGAGUAUAGUGCAAACGUUCCUCCAGGGCAAGCAGGUGGCAUCUCAGCUGGACAAGGUCAAAACUCUUCCAGAGUCAGAGCAAGCAACUAGAAUCAAGUGAGCAUUCUGAUUCGGAGGAUGAACUUCCACCCACUCCCCCAGAAAAACCAGCAGCAAAUAAAAUGACCAGCCGGAUCACCAGCCCCACUGCCCAGCGAGUCGCCAGUUCCACUGUCCAGCAGAUCGCCAGCCCCACUGCCCAGCGAGUCGCCAGUUCCACUGUCCAGCAGAUCGCCAGCCCCACUGCCCAGAGGUUUGCAAGCCCGAGUUGUGAAGCCAUGUUCUCUAAACUUCUUAAAAUUGUAGAAGAAAUUAAGGAGACCCAGAAGGUUCAUGGUAAGAUGCUAAAUGUCCUGCUGAAGAAGCAAGAUACAUCAGUGUAGGUUCCUGAUGGUGUGGUCUUCCCGCUACAAACUCAAGCAGAUGUUGAGGCGCUUGAGGAGCGACUGGGGGACCGCAGUCUAGUGUCUGCUGUUGUUGCCAUGGUUGCAGAUAUAGGGGGCACAAAUGUAGAUGAUGCAACGAGGCGAAUGAUGAAAUACGUACUGUCAAACGAGCUGGCAUUGGACUAUAAUAUGUUUGGCCGUCACGGGAAAAAGAAGUUUAAGGACUUGUGUCUUUUCAACGUUGUGUAUGAGGCUCUUAAGAAUAAUUCAUUGACAGCACAGGUGAACCAACAGGAGGCAGAGAGGGCACUGUCGAAAUGGUUCACUGGGGCAAGAGACAGAGGAGGACAAAGGGCAUCCAGACAGCCAGUGCCAAAUUAAACAGUACUGAGCAGUGGUGGAAUAUGAGUGAGUG
This is a long non-coding RNA of Perca fluviatilis (European perch), 1156 nucleotides long. RefSeq lists it as uncharacterized. The record is from RefSeq and is a predicted model, not a curated record. The transcript has 4 exons. Lineage: Eukaryota; Metazoa; Chordata; Actinopteri; Perciformes; Percidae.